This is a small nuclear RNA of Artibeus jamaicensis (Jamaican fruit-eating bat), 191 nucleotides long. RefSeq annotates it as U2 spliceosomal RNA. The transcript has a single exon. Lineage: Eukaryota; Metazoa; Chordata; Mammalia; Chiroptera; Phyllostomidae. The record is from RefSeq and is a predicted model, not a curated record.
GUCACUUCUUGGCCUUUUGUCUAAAAUCAAGUGUAGUGUCUGUUCAUAUCAGUUUAAUAUAUGGUACGUCCUCUAUCUCAGGACAUUAUAUUAAAUAGAUUUUUGGAGCUGGGAGAUAGAAUAGGAGCUUGCUCUGUCCACUCUGCGCAUCGACCCGGUAUUGGAGUGCUUAUGGGAAUGGUGCACACGCA